RNAcentral lists this unclassified non-coding RNA (173 nucleotides) under uncultured fungus. Its description in RNAcentral is "sequence contains ITS1". Lineage: Eukaryota; Fungi. The record is from RNAcentral.
CAGAGUUGAAAAACUCCCUAAACCAUCGCGAACUAUACCAAUCCGUUGCUUCGGCGGGCGGGCGCCCCCAGCGCCCCUCCAGGUCCCCCCCUCCCGGGGGGGCGCCCGCCGGAGGCACCCCAAACUAUUGUCAACUGUAUGGCCUCUCUGAGUCUUCUGUACUGAAUAAGUCA